This is an RNA transcript of Papaver somniferum (opium poppy), 2871 nucleotides long. It is a transcript of the gene named pentatricopeptide repeat-containing protein At1g12775, mitochondrial-like, with no coding region annotated. NCBI's taxonomy places the organism in Eukaryota, Viridiplantae, Streptophyta, Magnoliopsida, Ranunculales, Papaveraceae. The record is from RefSeq and is a predicted model, not a curated record. The transcript has 3 exons.
ACGGCAAUGGAGUAACUCAAAACCGGAGACUCAGUCAGAUUUAUCAUCAAAGGUACAUUGUAUUCCCGCUCAAACAUUUCAAAUCACUGAAUCUGAUAGAUAAAUUACACAAAUGAAUCUUCGUUUUGUGAGAAAUUAUCGUUGCACCAUAUCACAACUUGAGAGUUUUGUGAGAGACGAGUGUAAAUCUGGUAAAAUUAAGAAGCUUGAUGAUGGUUUGAGAUACUUCGAUCAAUUGAUUUCAGAAAAGCCUUUGCCGUCUAAUCAUACAUUUAAUCAUGUAUUUGGUUCACUAUCCAAAAUCAAAUGCUAUUCAGAUGUCAUUUUGUUGUACAAGAAAAUGAAUUUGGUUGGGGUACAACCCAGUAUAUAUACAUUGAGCAUUUUGAUUAAUUGCUGUUGUCAAUUAGGCAAAGUUGAUCAUGGGUUUUGUUUGUUUGGGGAGGUGUUAAAGAGGGGUUAUCAUCCUGAUACUGCCACUUUUAAUACACUGAUUAAAGGGUUGUGUCUUCAACAAAAGAUUGAUUUUGCAUUCAAAGUGUUUGAUAAAAUGGCUGAGAUGGGUGUUCAACCUGAUGCUAUUACAUGUAAUACUCUUAUAUCCGGGCUUUCUAAAACUGGAAAAGUUGAUCAUGCUCUUGAGGUGAAAAACAAGAUGGUUGAAUGGAAAUGCAGCCCUACGGUUGUUACAUAUUGUGCGACUAUAGAAACACUUUGUAAAGGAGGAUUAGUUGAUGAAGCUUUGGUUCUAUUCUCUGAAAUGCUUAAAGAUCUGAAUGUUGCACCCGAUGUAGUUGUUUACACUUCUUUGAUUAACGGGCUUUUCGAUUCAGGACGGUUGGACGAGGCAAGGAGAAUCUUUGACGAGAUGGUUAGUAGAGGAAUCUCUGCGGAUGUAACAACUUAUAGCUGUAUGAUUCAUGGUCAUUGCAUACAUGGUCAAUGGGAAGAAGCAAGAAGAUAUUUUAAUGAAAUGUUGGAUCAAGGGAUUUUACCCACUACAAUAACCUUUACUAUAUUGAUAGAUUCACUUUGUAAAUAUGGUAACAUAGAUGAUGCUGUGGGGGUAUUUAGAUACAUGGAGAAGCUAAAUAUAAAACCUGAUCGGAUUACUUAUAAUUCAAUGAUCAACGGUCUAUGUUUGGCAGGUCGGUUGCAAGAUGCGGCGGAACUAUUUGACUCGAUGGUGGAUAGGGGCCUUGAACCGAAUGCUGUCAGUUGCACUACAUUAAUUGAUGGGUAUUGCAGGAAUUGUAAGCUGGAUGAAGCUAUGUUGUUAUUCAAUAAAAUGAAACAAAACGGGUUGAAACCUACAACACUUACUUACAGUAUACUCUUAGCUGGGCUAUACCGAGGUGGUAGAAUAAAGGUCGCAGAAGGUAUCUUCAAUGAGAUACAAUCAUUUGGUCAAUAUCCAAAUAAAAUUACAUUUGGUACAGUUUUAGAUAGAAUCUGCAAGAAUGGAAAAAUUGAGGAGGUAGUAGAAUUGUUUGGAUCGAUGGAUGCUUCCUUUAUCUCAGUUACAUCCCCUUGAUCCAGUUUUACGCCAGCCCUGGCCGAACUCCUUUACGUAAGUUUUGGUUUCAUGAUUGCAUCUGACAUGUGGAUUGUUGAGGUUUGUGGGAUCUUAUGUUUUUAAGAUUGUCAGUGAACAACUGAUUUUCUAAUUGAACAAGUGUUGCUCAGGCAAUAGUUACUGUCUUAGAUUGGUUUUUACUUAAAUUUUAGAGUAUCUAGUAGCUGCCACUGCUUUCCUAAGGGGUUACUCAAUGUUUCUGCCCAAAACCUGUCGAAGAAGAUACAAGAAGAAUGGACUGCUACACUAAGUCAUAACUUCUAAGUCAGCCGAGUAAGUUGAGUAUAAAGAAUGACAAAUCUGAUGCUUGGAAGCUGGACCUGCAUAGUUUGGCAUGUACCUGCACUUUAUCUGACAGAUUGGUGUUUGAUGCCCUACCUUGAAUGCACCGUUGUUUGUGGCUAUCAAAUAUUCUUUGGCACAAAGAAGAGUACAUCCAUGGAUAAACACCCAAUCAGUACCCAAUUGAGUGGAAAGUCUCGUUUACCAAGAUGUUUUCACUUUCUUCUUUCUAUGUUCAAGGUGGUCUAGCUGCUCUCACUAACGGCUGUGCUAAAGGCUGGAGGUGGAUUUCAGGGAUUUUUGAUUCGAGUCCAGCAUAUUUUUUACCUGAUCCUUAAGUCAGCUAGAGGAAGAAGUCGUAUGAUCAAGGAUUUAUGGCUAAUUGCUAAUCUAGCAAGCAGCGAACUAUUGAAACUGAGAAAUAAAGUGCAUUGCGACAAUGAAAAGGUCAGAUGGUUCCAAUUUAAGAUCAAAAUUUUCAGGAAUGUGCUCAAGGUUAACAUGGUUUUAUGCACAACACCUGUGAAGUCCUCAGGAUCACAGAGGGUUAAAAUGGUAGCGUCAGCUGAAUUUAGCUGGAGACCUCGAGACCCUAAUGAAGUCUUAUUAUGUUUCGUUGGGGCAUCAGUUGGCAAUCCUGGCAGAUUGCAGCGUCAUUGGGGCUCAGAAUAUUGGGCUUGGCAUCACACCAAGUUUUUCUGCAGAGACAUACGCAGUGAUUGCAUUGCUUGAAUGACCAAUGGGCAUGGCAAUGGAGUCACAAAAAGGCCUUGGUUGGACGAGAUAAGGCUAGUACAGUGAAGGCUUUUGAUGGUAAUUCGAUUCCUUGGAGAUUCAGGCAAAGAUGGUUAGCUGUGGGGAGUCAUUACGACUCUAUUCAUUAUGAGCAUGCUUUCAGGGAAAUGAACUUUGUGGCAGAUGUGGGAAGGUCUUAAACUUUAUGAGUUUUAGAAAGGCCGGAUAUGGAAUAUUACGUUUUUAAGUAAUUUAGUUCCAUGGCUUAUGUUUGAGAC